GCACUAUGGGUGUGUGCAGGGCAUCUUACAGAACAAGUAAAAAGACAGGUCUCUGCCCCACAGAGUUUACAAUUUAACUCCAAAAUUGCAGUCUACGUUAAUUCUCUGCUUAGACCUCAUACAGAUGAACAGGGUGGAGGAUUAAGGAAGGACUAAGAACAGAAGGCCAAUUCAGGCCCAUCAGGAACAGCUGUUGACUAGCAAGGGGCCUUCAAGAAGGUACUGCCGGUGGCAAGGCUGCAGAAUCCAGACUGGUGAGAUCAGCGAUGGACACCAACGGUGGAUCACAGGUGUCGAAGACAGAAAGCAACAGAGACUGCAUUCCUGCCACCUCAGAUACAGAUACUGUUCCAGCCAUAUUAACUCCUUGCUCAGUGUAUGAGAACUUAAUAAUGCAAAGAUAUCUUGACACUGGUGCCAGGGGAAAGCAUGAAGACAGGACAUAUUUAAAAUGCAGUCUGAGUAGAAGAAUGGUCUGGGAAUACAAAUUGUUGAGCUGGAAGUGUCAUCAAAAGGACCAGGAAGGUUUCACUUAGUAUUUUAUAAAUUUACAAAGCUUUUCCAUAAAGCCACAAAAGCUGUGACUGUUUGUC
This is a long non-coding RNA of Mauremys reevesii (Reeves's turtle), 593 nucleotides long. RefSeq lists it as uncharacterized. The transcript is spliced from 3 exons. The record is from RefSeq and is a predicted model, not a curated record. Lineage: Eukaryota; Metazoa; Chordata; Testudines; Geoemydidae.